AUGCAAGUCGAACGAGAACGGGUUAAAGUUUACUUUAACUGUCAGCUAAGUGGCGCACGGGUGAGUAAUAUAUAGUUAAUCUGCCCCAAAGAAGAGAAUAAUUGUUGGAAACGACUUGUAACUCUCUAUAUGCCUUUAUUACAUAAGUAAGCAAGGGAAACAUUUAUGGCUUUGGGAUGAGACUGUACGGUAUCAGUUUGUUGGUAAGGUAAUGGCUUACCAAGACUAUGACGCCUAACUGGUUUGAGAGGAUGAUCAGUCACACUGGAACUGAGACACGGUCCAGACUCCUACGGGAGGCAGCAGUGGGGAAUAUUGCACAAUGGAGGAAACUCUGAUGCAGCAACGCCGCGUGGAGGAUGACACAUUUCGGUGCGUAAACUCCUUUUAUAUGAGAAGAUAAUGACGGUAUCAUAUGAAUAAGCACCGGCUAACUCCGUGCCAGCAGCCGCGGUAAUACGGGGGGGUGCAAGCGUUACUCGGAAUCACUGGGCGUAAAGAGCAUGUAGGCGGAUAGAUAAGUUGGAAGUGAAAUCCUAUGGCUUAACCAUAGAACUGCUUCCAAAACUGUCUAUCUAGAAUAUGGGAGAGGUAGAUGGAAUUUCUGGUGUAGGGGUAAAAUCCGUAGAGAUCAGAAGGAAUACCGAUUGCGAAGGCGAUCUACUGGAACAUUAUUGACGCUCAGAUGCGAAAGCGUGGGGAGCAAACAGGAUUAGAUACCCUGGUAGUCCACGCCCUAAACGAUGCACACUAGUUGUUGCCUUGCUAGACAAGGCAGUAAUGCAGUUAACACAGUAAGUGUGCCGCCUGGGGAG
This 815-nucleotide ribosomal RNA is filed under the name uncultured bacterium. Its description in RNAcentral is "bacterial SSU rRNA". It matches the Rfam family "Bacterial small subunit ribosomal RNA", at positions 55 to 880 of the family's 1533-position model. The record is from RNAcentral.